UCUUCAAGCCAAGUCUCUUCCCAGCUGCUCUCUUCACAUCUGAGGUCCUGCCAGUAUCACCUGGUUUUGAAGCAGUUCAUAAUCAAUGAAUACCAUGCAUUUAUGGCAAGUGGUUGCUUAUGAUCU
Sinocyclocheilus rhinocerous is the source of this 126-nucleotide long non-coding RNA. RefSeq lists it as uncharacterized. The record is from RefSeq and is a predicted model, not a curated record. Lineage: Eukaryota; Metazoa; Chordata; Actinopteri; Cypriniformes; Cyprinidae. The transcript has 3 exons.